GGUGAACGCUGGCGGCGUGCCUAAUACAUGCAAGUCGAGCGAACAGAUGAGGAGCUUGCUCCUCUGACGUUAGCGGCGGACGGGUGAGUAACACGUGGAUAACCUACCUAUAAGACUGGGAUCACUUCGGGAAACCGGAGCUAAUACCGGAUAAUAUAUUGAACCGCAUGGUUCAAUAGUGAAAGACGGUUUUGCUGUCACUUAUAGAUGGAUCCGCGCCGCAUUAGCUAGUUGGUAAGGUAACGGCUUACCAAGGCAACGAUGCGUAGCCGACCUGAGAGGGGGAUCGGCCACACUGGAACUGAGACACGGUCCAGACUCCUACGGGAGGCAGCAGUAGGGAAUCUUCCGCAAUGGGCGAAAGCCUGACGGAGCAACGCCGCGUGAGUGAUGAAGGUCUUCGGAUCGUAAAACUCUGUUAUUAGGGAAGAACAAAUGUGUAAGUAACUAUGCACGUCUUGACGGUACCUAAUCAGAAAGCCACGGCUAACUACGUG
This 497-nucleotide ribosomal RNA is filed under the name uncultured bacterium. RNAcentral's name for it is "partial 16S ribosomal RNA". It matches the Rfam family "Bacterial small subunit ribosomal RNA", at positions 28 to 507 of the family's 1533-position model. The record is from RNAcentral.